GGCACACGCUGGAAACUGCUCCAGAACAUGGUGGGUUUGUUGCUUUUUUUUUUUUUCUUUCCCCUGGUGGAAAAGCAUGCAAUUUUCAUUCUCAGCAUGUCACACUGAGCUGAAAGCGAGAAGCAGCUGAAUUAAAUCUGCUCAGGUAGCAGUGACAUUAACAGCUCAGCUACUUGUGAAAAUGCUGCAUAAAACAAGCUGUCUAUAGCAAGCCAUUGCUCCAGCACUAAGAAGGAGCUGCUAACUGCACCGAAAACAUAUUAAACCCAAAUCCACACUUGCUCAUUUUCCACAAGAAGCCCCCUUCUGCCCCAGCUCCAAGCCCCUUCUUGGGCUCCCUCAGGUCUCAAGCAAAUCCUCCAGGUCUGUCUGCUGGACUCUGUCCUCUGUUUUCUGCCCUUGACCAGUGGCAAUGGCACCUCCAAAGGACCAGGGCUUGUUCAGCAGGGAGCAGAGGACAUGGCAUGCAGCUGCAGGUGGGUGAGUGUGUGGGAGGAGGAAUCCAUAGCCAAACACAGAGCUGCCAAUGGCCAGAGGAUGAGUCUGGGGAAAUGCUGUGACAUGGAUUUCACUUCUGUGGCAAACAGCUCACCAGCCUGAAGCCAGGGGAUCUACAAUGGGUAGCGGACCCCUCCUGUACCCUUCCUGCUGGCAGACUGCAGCUGGGGAAAGGUGCACAGCAUCCUGCUGGGAUACUGGUCCUAUGCGAGUUCAUUGCACUUACUUAAUCACUCUCAGUGCCAAAAAAUCUGCAAUACCCUUCUGUCCCAAGGCAACAGUCCUUUGUCUUGCUCUGAACACCAUCCCAUAGAUGGAAGCUUGGGGUAGCCCAAGGCCAGCAGCCAUUCCCACUCCCCUGCUGGCCAGCAGCCACUGCCCACAGAGGGGGGCCAGCAGCGAGGUCCUGGCUCCACAGGAGUGGGCAGCACAGGCACUGGGGUGACGACACAGAUCUGUCCCGCUCUUACAAAGACGCCAGAGUUGAUACUCAUCAGCUAGUGAGUCACUGCCCGUCCCACAGUCUCUUCCUGCUCAGCAGUGGUGACGGCAAAAAGGGAUCCCACGCCCACACGUCCACUGUGCCACAUGCAGACUGCUGCCAUCCCCUCCUCCAGAGCCAGUCAGCUACUUCACAACAAAGGCACUGAGAAGUGCUCACAGACACUGAGCACAUGGAGGGGCAAAGCAGAGAUGUGUUCUGCCUCAACUCAUGCCUCCCCUUUCAUGCCUCUGAAGGAGCACUUCCUGCUGAGGGACAUUUGGGACCGCAUCCUGAAGCCCCUGGUAAACACAGCAGUACCCCAACACCCCCAUAAUGCUUGCCUUUGCAUGCAUUUAUCACAUGCAGAAACAAGGACUUGUACAUCAGUAAUAGCCUAUCCACGCCUUCAGGUUUCUUUCUGAAAGAGGAGCUACACAGCUGACUGUCUCCCCGAAUGACCAGUGACAAACCCAUAGCAACAGCUCUCUCUGCUGCAGAAAAAAAGGUGGCCACGGACCUCAGCAGGUCGGAGAGCUGGCCCCAAACACCAGCUGCCCCAGGUGGGACACAAAGCAGAAAGCUGAGGCUGUGCAUCCCUCAGGACCUGAGACCCUGUUUGGUUUUCAUCCGAACCAAUAGAGCAUACAAACUGCCACGCAAUGCGUCACUGCCUCUUCCGCUCCCUGUUUUUUAAGCAGCAUUUGUGUGUCUCUCUCAGCGCUGUCCUAAAGCUGUUCCCAUCCCACAGCAAUGACUGUGCUGAUGGCCGGGGGACCUCUGCAGUGAGAGGAGAGAGUGAAUCACUGCACUUCCCCAGGUUUCAGAGCCAGGGAUUAUCUCUACAUACGCACCCAGCCCUGCUUUAUGUAAGCAAGAUUUGAAUGACACAAACAGUUACCUGCGUCCUUGCUUCAAGAGUCUCCAGGAUCCCGUUUGGCAUCACUCAUCUCUAGGUUAAUGAACGGCGCAAACUUGCAUCUCCUGCAAAUGGAAAGCCCUGGAUAAUGGCAGCAGUGAAACAAAUGACAAAAGCCUGCAAGUGGAUAGCUUUGAAAACUGAUACCAUUCAGUAUGAUACGGUAAUGCAAAAAGGUUGCCUGUCCUGGUGUUAUUUAUAAUUCCCUGUAUGCCUGGAUUCCCUCCAGCCAGCAUACAUUAUGCUCAAUCCAGGACAUAUGCAACAAAUCAUACCCAAUUAUGGAAGCUCAGGAGACAAGCUCUCCUUUGAUUACUGCCACAGAUUUCUUUUCCGUAGACCACCAGUCCUAACAAGAGAAGCAGACAAUACAUGAAAAGAAAAGAAAGCUCCAAUCAAUGCCCGUCAUGUACCGAUGGAUAUAUCCAAUCAUAGACCUGAAUGCAAACCAUUGACAAGAAUUGUUCCUCGGGUAUUUAUGCCCUCAGGCAGCCCGUGGCACCCAGCCUGCCUGGGAUAUCAACAGGGUGCUCAGCACACUGCCUCCUACUGCAUCGCUGUGUAAAUCCAGCCCUGCCAUCAAUUACAUAAGGCAUGGUGAGUCCAUCUCACCCAGCACACUGCUGUUGAUGGGACUCCCACUGGUAGGACGGUGGUUUUUUUCUCCAAGUCAAGGCUUAAGCUUUUCCUGGGUUGCUGAUACAAGGAGAAUAGCAAAAGGAGCACAUAUUACAGAGUCAUUCAUCUGUUCAUGUGUCAAAUAUUACACUGAAACUUCAUCUCACCUUCGCUUGUAUUUUCGCCAGAAAUCCCAAGGCAGCAUAUCACAGCUCGCUAUCACACAGCCUGGCAAAAAGCUGUUUAAUGAAUAACUUGAGAAGUACAAACCUCGCUUUGGAGGCUCUCCAAGCUUCCCGAUAGGAAUCCAGUCAAAAGUGACAAUGAAGGCAUUAUCGGCAUGCGGCAGCUGAUUUCCCUGACGGCUCAGCUCACUGACCUGGCUGCUUCUGCUGGGAACGCUCGUCACCCAUGCGCCAGGCAGCCGGCAAGGAGCAGUGCUUCCCACCAACUGCUGCAGUGCAUAUGAGCUGCUUUCACAGCUCCUGGUUACUCAGGGGCUGCCCCAGAUUACUGGGCUGCUUGGCAGAGCUAUGGAUGGCUCCUGGUAGAAGAGCUCUGGAGAAAGGUCAGGGGCAGCCGUGCUUCCCGCUCACCCCAGUGCUGACAUUUGCAGCCGUGUAACCCAGAGUAACAAAGGCACAAUGAGCCUCAUCCAUUUAGCAGUCUUCAAACCUUAUAAAUCCCUUGGGGGAGGCCUGGGUUAAUGCCAAGACAGCAAACACUGUUUCUGUGUGAUGAACACAAGGAUGCUGAAAGCAUCUUUAUGUGCAAUCUGUAGCAGCAGCACAGUGCUAUCCCCACCCAGGGAUGGGCUGUGGGACACAGACGUUCCACCUUGGGAAACUGCCUCUGCUGGGAGGGUGCUGCUAACCUCUGGAUCCCGAUGGAGAGCACUGCUGUCCAAACACCUCUUAUUUCAAAGCAGAGGCUUACUCCUGGGUCCCAUUCAUCCCUCCAAUGAAAAUACCAGAGCAGUUCCAGGUGCCACCAGGGCUGCUCCAUCAGCUACAGGACUCCAUGAGGCUUUCAGUCCAGAGCAUCCCCCAGCAGGACGACACAGAGCCUCCUUCUAGUGAUAGGUCUUACCCAGAGUGCAUUAAGUCCCAAAUUUCAUACCACAAUAUAUCUAGAAAUGACUUUCCCAAUUCAGCACUUAUCUCUCUGCCCAGCCCUGCAUUCCCAGUGGCUGUUCUAACAGUAGAGCAGGACAAAGGUUUCUAAGCUCCACCUCAUGGAAAUGAAGUCUUUAGAGCAUGUAUCUAAGGCACUACAGCAUGCACAUAGAUCUAAACCACAUUCCAUAUUGAGUGACAGCAUUACAUCGAGUCCAGCUUCACAACCGUGUGAUGCACUGCAGGGAAAGGAUAUCCGUUUUCUGAAGUCAAUGAAGACAGUGAGACAAGAGAUUUUACUUAAACUAUAUAUUUUUACGUAAAACAACUUUAUGUUACAAUAAAAUCAGAUAAAAAUCACAAAGUUGUAUAAGUUCAUAAAGCAAAAAAUCAAGUUUUUCUUAUAUAUAUAUAUGUAUAUAUAUAUAUAUAAAACCCAGCAUUUACUGCUACUAGGAGUCUAAAUGUUAACAUUGACUGUCUAUGGCCAAUUCGAAAAAAAUAUAUCUAUUUUCACAGCAGACAAAAUGACGAGGUAAGAGAUGUUAUUACAAUGAUCCAACUGUAGUAAACACUCCAGUCUCCAUUAACUCAAAUACUAAACGUAACAAAACCAAAUAAAAAUACACAUUUAGAGCACUGCAGUGUUUUCCCACAGCUGUGUAUCAACAAAUUCUCAUUCACUAAACUUUACUCGGAACAGUUAAAACAGGGCGCGUGGAUAUCUUCAGUACUAAAGUCUCAUAACAAUCUAAACAUUUUGGUAUCGCAGAUCACACUAAGACACUCUCAGAACUCUCAACGACACAGGGAUAUAUUUCUGUUAAAAACAAUGUGCUUCGUUCAUCACUCAUGAUGAGUUUUACAGAAUAUUAUGCUCGUGAUCACUAUCAGGCAAGGGAAGGAAAACAACGAAAUGCUGCAAAACGCUCCUGCCGAGCACAGCUCCCCUUCACAUGCCCAGGUUGGGCAGCACGCUGCAAACGGAGAAGCUUAGCUCACAAAACCUGCAUUAUCAGUCUCUUUUUAGCUAGUAUAUGGCUAAAAUAAUUAUUGCUGACCGUGUUAUAAACAAACAAACACACAAACCCCCAAAAUACCACACAAAAAUACAUGAGCGGAUUGAUUUUACUCACGUGUCUUUCUUGUCUGUGCCGUUAUUAGGUUACUGGAUGACCAGAAAGGAAAGAGCUAUUUCAAAAUACACAUAUAAAAGAAGAAAAUUGGAGGUAUAGGCACCUUCAUUUGAAGACUGUCUUAUAAAAUAAGAGAAGAGAAGCGCUAACACAGAGCACAGCAGAAAGUCAGACUGUGAGAGGCCCCGCUCUGCCUGCGGCCUGCAGAACCCCAUGGGAAGUAUGGCUGUCACUCUGUUGGCAGUCAUCUCCUGAACGUGGGUUUCACUCCAGGUAUGUUGGUUAGCACAGAGACCAAUACUUCAGACAUGCAAACUUCACAUGACAGUCCAUUUAUCUCCUAGAGGUCAGCAUGAAUGCUGCCGAGCACUCAGGCCUGCACGUGCCCCAGCCACCUGCAUGGGACCUCUGCUUGGAGCUGCUUCUGGGUUAAGCGCCUUGUGCCUACGUAUUGCUGUGCUUAACACAAAGAACGACUGCCAGCAUCUCCGAAAAGCACAUUUGCAGGUCCAAGAGAAGCUGUGCCUUGAAGAGAGUGCAGAAAUGCUGCCCACACAGGUCACGGUCUCAAGAACAAAUGUGAGUAUAUCCUGUUUCUCAGCAUCAGUUUACAUUCAUGUAAGAUGGCACACCAUUUAAUACUGCAGAUUUUUCUGAACUGCACUGAAUAAUUAGUUUAACUGAUGUAUGAAUAACUAUAUCCAGGCAAUAUUCCAGCUACUGACACGGGGGAAAGGAAGAGUAAUUUUCUUUGUAUUUUGAGAUAUGAGCUCUCAUGCAUAUGCAUAUGUACACACAUGCACAAUGCUUGAGAACUCGUAUGUAAAAACAUACAAAUAUUAUACUAUAUAUACGCUAUUAUACUGCUUACUUACUAUAUAUAAUACAGUAUGUAUGUGCAUAAAUAUAUACUAUAUAGUAUAUGGCAUAUGAUGUACAAUGUAUGUCUGUAUAGAUACUUUAAUAGAUAGUUCCAUCCUGACUCUCAUGUCUUUAAAUUUCUCUCUCCCCAUUUGCUACAAGAAGAUGGUAUCAGCAGUUCUUCUCAGAGGGCAAUGUUCACAAUUGGGCUUCAUGCUGGUUACUCCUGGGUGGUUUAAACCUAAUCAAGGACCUGCUAAAUGCAAGCAUGCAGUUUGAAAACAAAUUAAUGAAUUGGAUGACAGGUGAUACUCAUAAGACAAUUGAGUUUCUGGUUCAUUUGGUAUCACAAAAAAGUGAAAUCUGAGCAAAAUGCUAGUAAAUAAGGGUUCUUAUAUGUGCUAUUACCACAGGAAGGCUGGGAAGAAAGCAUGACAUUUUCCUUGGAAAUACGGUGCUGAGAACCGUAUUGUAUUUAUAACAGUGCAUCAAAAUCCAUCUCCCUAAACUAUUUCCUUGUGCCAUCUUAAAACCCCUUAAUAGCACUGCUUUUAAGGGUGCCAGCUGAGAUGUUGUAAUGGCACACGGCAAACUUUACUGCACCUGCUGACAGCUCUUUCUUUCUGAAACAGCACAGAGCAUUUGGUCACUGUAAUGAAGGAAAAGACAAGGAUCCCAUUAUUUUUCCCGCUGUUCAGGGGCUCCAAGCCAUCAACAUCAUUCUCCUUAGAAAAAUGACCGCCCCGUAUAUCAAAAAUGACAAAAUGGGCUACACUCCAAAUGAAUCCGAGUUUCUCACUUUUGGCCUUAGCUC
Molecule: long non-coding RNA, 6442 nt
Organism: Gallus gallus (chicken)
Lineage: Eukaryota; Metazoa; Chordata; Aves; Galliformes; Phasianidae
Exons: 2
Source: RefSeq, a predicted model, not a curated record